Molecule: ribosomal RNA, 492 nt
Filed under: uncultured bacterium
Lineage: Bacteria
Description: partial 16S ribosomal RNA
Rfam family: Bacterial small subunit ribosomal RNA
Source: RNAcentral
AGUGAACGCUGGCGGUAGGCCUAACACAUGCAAGUCGAACGGCAGCACAGUAAGAGCUUGCUCUUACGGGUGGCGAGUGGCGGACGGGUGAGGAAUACAUCGGAAUCUACUUUUUCGUGGGGGAUAACGUAGGGAAACUUACGCUAAUACCGCAUACGACCUACGGGUGAAAGCAGGGGAUCUUCGGACCUUGCGCGAUUGAAUGAGCCGAUGUCGGAUUAGCUAGUUGGCGGGGUAAAGGCCCACCCAGGCAACGAUCCGUAGCUGGUCUGAGAGGAUGAUCAGCCACACUGGAACUGAGACACGGUCCAGACUCCUACAAGAGGCAGCAGUGGGGAAUAUUCGACAAGGGGCGCAAGCCUGAUCCAGCCAUACCGCGUGAGUGAAGAAGGCCUUCGGGUUGUAAAGCCCUUUUGUUGGGAAAGAAAAGCAGCAGGUUAAUACCCCGCUGUUCUGACGGUACCCAAAGAAUAAGCUCCGGCUAACUUCGUG